RNAcentral lists this ribosomal RNA (497 nucleotides) under uncultured bacterium. RNAcentral's name for it is "partial 16S ribosomal RNA". It matches the Rfam family "Bacterial small subunit ribosomal RNA", at positions 29 to 523 of the family's 1533-position model. The record is from RNAcentral.
AUUGAACGCUGGCGGCAUGCUUUACACAUGCAAGUCGAACGGUAACAGGCCGCAAGGUGCUGACGAGUGGCGAACGGGUGAGUAAUGCAUCGGACCGUGCCCAGUCGUGGGGGAUAACGCAGCGAAAGCUGUGCUAAUACCGCAUACGAUCUAUGGAUGAAAGCGGGGACCGUAAGGCCUCGCGCGAUUGGAGCGGCCGAUGUCAGAUUAGCUAGUUGGUGGGGUAAAGGCCCACCAAGGCGACGAUCUGUAGCUGGUCUGAGAGGACGACCAGCCACACUGGGACUGAGACACGGCCCAGACUCCUACGGGAGGCAGCAGUGGGGAAUUUUGGACAAUGGGCGCAAGCCUGAUCCAGCAAUGCCGCGCGCAGGAAGAAGGCCUUCGGGUCGUAAACUGCUUUUGUACGGAACGAAACGGUCUGGGUUAAUACCCUGGGCUAAUGACGGUACCGUAAGAAUAAGCACCGGCUAACUACGUGCCAGCCGCCGCGGUAA